AUUUUGAAUCAAUCGCUGUAUCUGAAAAAUGAUAUAGAGGAAACUCCAUGCAUACACAUCCUGUGAUGGAUGUAGUGUUUGUGCUAGAGGAAAAGAUAACUCUAGGCAUUAGCAAUAGUGACGACAGAGUGGUAACCUAAGUGCUUGCAUAAGGUGAAACUCAUAAAGUGCCACAGGGACGAUUAGCUUGAAAAAGUGAAAUGGAACGGGUAAACUCCACAAGUAUGAAACUCAAAUUUUGGUAGAGGAACUAGAAAGUUAGGAAUCAAGAACUGAUUUUUUGGAUUGCAUUUGCAAUAGAUAGAUGAUUGAUGUGCUUCGGUAAACAGAACAUGGGUUAUGAUA
This 345-nucleotide RNase P RNA is filed under the name Spiroplasma clarkii. RNAcentral describes it as "Bacterial RNase P class B". It matches the Rfam family "Bacterial RNase P class B". Rfam says of the family: Ribonuclease P (RNase P) is a ubiquitous endoribonuclease, found in archaea, bacteria and eukarya as well as chloroplasts and mitochondria. Lineage: Bacteria; Bacillati; Mycoplasmatota; Mollicutes; Entomoplasmatales; Spiroplasmataceae. The record is from Rfam by way of RNAcentral.